UCCCUGGUGGCUCAGAUGGUAAAGCGUCUGCCUACAAUGCAGGAGACCCAGGUUCAAUUCCUGGGUCGGGAA
Molecule: transfer RNA, 72 nt
Organism: Ovis aries (sheep)
Lineage: Eukaryota; Metazoa; Chordata; Mammalia; Artiodactyla; Bovidae
Rfam family: tRNA
About the family: Transfer RNA (tRNA) molecules are approximately 80 nucleotides in length.
Source: Rfam